CCUACGGGUGACAGCAGUGGGGAAUAUUGGGCAAUGGGCGCAAGCCUGACCCAGCAACGCCGCGUGAAGGAAGAAGUCUUUCGGGUUGUAAACUUCUUUUCUGAGGGACGAAGAAAGUGACGGUACUUCAGGAAUAAGCCACGGCUAACUACGUGCCAUCAGCCGCGGUAAUACGUAGGCGGCAAGCGUCAUCCGGAUUUAUUGGGUAUAAAGGGAGUGUAGGCGGGAAAGCAAGUCAGAUGUGAAAACUCAGGGCUCAACCCUGAGACUGAAGUUGAAACUGGUUUGCUUGAGUUCUGGAGAGGCAAGCGGAAUUCCGUGUGUAGCGGUGAAAUGCGUAGAUAUAAGGAGGAACACCAGUGGCGAAGGCGGAUUGAUGGACAGUAACUGACGCUGAGGCGCGAAAGCGUGGGGAGCAAACAGGAUUAGAUACCCCGGUAGUC
Molecule: ribosomal RNA, 443 nt
Filed under: uncultured bacterium
Lineage: Bacteria
Description: partial 16S ribosomal RNA
Rfam family: Bacterial small subunit ribosomal RNA
Source: RNAcentral